This is a long non-coding RNA of Cydia fagiglandana, 677 nucleotides long. RefSeq lists it as uncharacterized. The transcript is spliced from 3 exons. The record is from RefSeq and is a predicted model, not a curated record. Lineage: Eukaryota; Metazoa; Arthropoda; Insecta; Lepidoptera; Tortricidae.
UGACCACGGUGGUAUGGUAAUGAUUUUAUUAAAUACGGUGAUGACAUCAUGGGUAUGGUAAUGACGUUUUAUUAAACAAGGUGUAAAUAAAACAACUGUUUUGAGCAAAUCAACAAACAUGGGUAUAUUUAUUUCAAUUGUCAAUAAUAAAUUUACAACUUUAAUUGUAUAAUAUUAGCUUUAUAGGCACACUAACAACAACAACAUCAGCAAAAUUAUUAAAUAAUCAACUAUAUGGUUUUAACCAAGCUUCUAUUCUUAACAUUGUAGUUUUUGGUGCCGAUUAUUAUAAUUUCCGUUUCGUAAUCUUUUCUCACCAUUAAUCACUUCCUUUUUUCGUUUAAUGAUUAGAAUUGUGAUGCCUACGGCAUCCAUAACAUGAUAAAAUAAUCAUCUACUGAGUUAUAAUCAGUCUUCUAUUCUUAAAAUUUAUUUUUUUCGUAACGAUUAAUAUAAUUUCUGUUUCGAUAACUUUUCUCACUUUUAGUCUCUUCCUUCUCCGUUUUAUGAUUAGUGUUGUGAUGCUUUAGGCACCCACAAUAUAAACUAAUAAUCAUCCACUUAGUUAAAAUCAGUCUUCUAUUCUUAAAAUAUAUUUUUUUCGUACCGAUUAUUAUAAUUUCUGUUUCGAUAACUUUUCUCACCUUUAUCUCUGCCUUUUUCCGUUUAAUGAUUAG